GCCAGGCGUGGUGGCGCACGCCUGUAAUCCCAGCUACUUGGGAGGCUGAGGCAGAAGAAUUGCUUGAAUCCAGGAGGCAGAGGUUGCAGUGAGCUGAGGUUGUGCCACUGCACUCCAGCCUGGAUGACAGAGCAAGACCCCGUCUCAA
RNAcentral lists this small RNA (148 nucleotides) under Macaca mulatta (Rhesus monkey). RNAcentral describes it as "Metazoan signal recognition particle RNA (ENSMMUG00000052637.1)". It matches the Rfam family "Metazoan signal recognition particle RNA". From Rfam's summary of the family: The signal recognition particle (SRP) is a universally conserved ribonucleoprotein. The record is from Rfam by way of RNAcentral. Lineage: Eukaryota; Metazoa; Chordata; Mammalia; Primates; Cercopithecidae.